Long non-coding RNA from Gallus gallus (chicken), 2047 nucleotides. NCBI's taxonomy places the organism in Eukaryota, Metazoa, Chordata, Aves, Galliformes, Phasianidae. The record is from Ensembl.
GGCUGGAUGCAGCCAAAGGGUUGUGAUCAAUGGUUCUGUGUCAGGGUGGAGACCGGUGUCACAAGCGGUGUCCCCCAAGGCUCGGUCUUGGGACCAGUGCUCUUCAACACCUUCAUCAAUGACAUAGAUGAUGGCAUCGAGUGCACCCUCAGCAAGUUUGCGGAUGACGCCAAGCUGAGUGGUGUAGUUGAUACACAGGGAGGAAGGGAAGCCAUCCAGAGGGGCCUGGGCCGGCUGGAGAAGUGGGCCCAUUAAAACCUAAUGAGGUUCAAUAAGGCCAAGUGCAAGGUGCUGCACUUGGGUUGGGACAAUCCCAGGUAUUUAUACAAACUGGACGAAGAUCUCCUUGAGAGCAGCCCUGCAGAGAUGCACUUGGGGGUCCUGGUGGAUGAGAAGCUGGACAUGAGCCAGCGGUGUACAUUUGCAGCACGGAAGACCAACUGUGUUCUGGGCUGCAUUAAGAAAGGGGUGGCCAGCAAGGAGAGGGAGGUGAUUGUCCCCAUCGGCUCUAAUGAGGCCCCAUUUGGAGUACUGCGUCCAGGCCUGGGGCCCCCAGUACGGCAAGGACAUGGAGCUCUUGAAACGAGUCCCAAGGAGAGCCACUAAGAUGAUGAGAGAGAGGGCUGGAGCACCUCUCCUGUGAGGAAAGGUUGAGGGAACUGGGCUUUUUUAGCUUGGAGAAGAGAAGGCUCUAGGGAGACCUCAUUGUGGCCUUCCAGUACUUGAAGGGAGCGUAUAAACAGGAGGGGGGACGACUGUUUGCAUGGGUGGAUAGUGAUAGGACAAGGGGGAAUGGUCUUAAACUAAGACAGGAUAGGUUUAUGUUAGAUAUUAAGAGGAAGUUUUCCACUCAGAGGGUGGUGACACACUGGACCAUGUUGCCCAAGUAGGUUGUGGAUGCCUCAUCCCUGGAGGCAUUCAAAGCUUGUCUGGAUGUGGCUCUGGGCAGCCUUGUCUAGUGGUUGGGGACCCUGUCCUUGGCAGGGGGCUUAGAACUAGAUGAUCAAUUAUGGUCCUUUUGCAAUCUAAGCCGUUCUAUAACUAUGAUCCUGAGAGAGUCAUGUGUAUACCAAGUAUGUAGUGGUAAUUCACAAGUACUGCACCCGAAAGGUACGCCAGUACACUAGUAGGUAUGUAUGAGAGAAAGCAGAGAAGACCCCUAUUAUUUGAACUGAUUUCUAGACUUCAUAACUUUGAGCAACAUUUAGCCCCUCCUCGAGCUUAUGUUUCAGCCGUCUGAAAACUAACUGAAAGACUGGAUAAAGUGGAGUGUAAACAGAGGUAUAAUGGGGGAACUGUUUACCUUGCUGUCAUGGUUUUAUGGUGUUUGGUUAUUUGUAUUCCACAUUGUAACUUCAUGUAGUGCACUGGGAGUUAAAGAGUUAAUGCUCCAGGUCUGGAUACCUGUCUCAGAAGGUAGCUACUACAUCUACCAGAGAAAUGUUCACUUUUCUGCUGUCAUUUCUGCUUAGGGGGAUGAGAUAAAAGGCCUUCAUAAGUCACUUGACAGCCCCUUUUCGAUCGUCUGACUCGUCUCUGUUGUGGGUGCCGUUUUGUCCCAGCAUUAGAGUAAGGCCUUUAGCUUUUCGACACUCUCAUUUUGAUUUACUAUCUUUAGUUCCAGUUAUAUUGUAUUAUCUUGCAUUCUGAUAUCUUAUUUAGUAAAUUAGUUUGUUUCUCCUUAGAUAGUUGUUGCUGUUUUGUUUUUAGGCCCAUCUCCUUACCCUUUCCCCUUAUGCUUUUCCCGGGGCAUGGGUCCGUGGGUCCCCCCACCCCGCUAGUCACGGAACCGGGCUGAACCAGACCGUAAACUGUUGACACAGGCAAUUGCCCUUUUGCCACAAAUAAGAACAUAUCCCCAUGUUGCAGCACCUCUUCAAAUCUGGCAAACAGAUGUCACUCAUAUUGAUGAAUUUGGCCAUCUAAAAUACGUGCAUGUAACAAUAGGUACUUAUUCUUCUUACAUGUUUGCCACAGUGUAUACAGACAAGCAUGGUCACAACACCCAUAAACAUUGGUGUAGUAGUUUUAGGAUUUUUGUUAUCGG